AAACUGCGAUAAGUAGUGUGAAUUGCAUUUAGUGAAUCAUCGAAUCUUUGAACGCACAUUGCGCCCCUCGGUAUUCCGUGGGGCAUGCCUGUUCGAGCGUCAUCUACACCCUCAAGCUCUGCUUGGUGUUGGGCGUCUGUCCCGCCUCCGCGCGCGGACUCGCCCCAAAUGCAUUGGCAGCGGUUCCUUGCCCCCCUCUUUGCGCAGCACAUUGCCAUUCGAGGCGGCGGCGGCCCGCGUCCAACAAGCUCAACCCCCCCGUCUUUGACCUCGGAUCAGGUAGGGAUACCCGCUGAACUUAAGC
RNAcentral lists this unclassified non-coding RNA (304 nucleotides) under plant metagenome. RNAcentral describes it as "partial contains 5.8S ribosomal RNA, internal transcribed spacer 2, and large subunit ribosomal RNA". The stretch from base 1 to 102 matches the Rfam family "5.8S ribosomal RNA", at positions 50 to 154 of the family's 154-position model. The record is from RNAcentral.